Molecule: non-coding RNA, 74 nt
Organism: Phrynosoma platyrhinos (Desert horned lizard)
Lineage: Eukaryota; Metazoa; Chordata; Lepidosauria; Squamata; Phrynosomatidae
Source: the annotation of a GenBank genome assembly
GAGCCAGUGGGGUGUAGUGGUUUGGGCGUUGGAUUACUACUCUGAAGAGCAGGGUUCAAAUUCCAGCUGGUCCA